Long non-coding RNA from Scleropages formosus (Asian bonytongue), 1913 nucleotides. The record is from Ensembl. NCBI's taxonomy places the organism in Eukaryota, Metazoa, Chordata, Actinopteri, Osteoglossiformes, Osteoglossidae.
GCGGGAAACGGGUCUAUUGUAAAUAGUUGGAUUGUGGGUAAAACGGAGUUAAAUGUUCAACCGCUGCAGAGGCUUCUGGGGAAAAUAAAGGGGUGACUGUGUGUUUGGCACUGGAGAAACAGAGAAAGUGAGGGGGGCGCUAAGAUGGCUGGAAAGGUUGGUUAGCGAUGCAGGUCCUUGAGGAAAAGAGGUUCUCGGAUCGAAAGCAUCAUUUUCUUUGUUUGCUGAUGAGUGAUGUUCUAAUAAGACGUUCGUUAUGAACGCUCCCUGCGCGUCCUUCUUCGCCCCAUCCGAACCCAGAGCGCUGCGCGCCGCAAUAUGUUUACAGCUAUACACGGUCUCCUGCUAAUUUCUGUAGGGUCGUGUCCCAUGAGGAUGACCUGGUGAACCUGCCAUCUGUGACAUGUUGGCUUUACGCGCUGUGUCACUCCUCCAUUGCUCGUGUAAAAGGGACAGUCCGCUCUGUCAGAUGUUCCUUUAAAAAAGUGCAUCCCCUCCGCCGCGUGGGCCGGUUCGUGGGAGAUGACGCCCCGUCCACGAGCGCAACUCAACUCGUGAACCACUCAGGACCGGGGGUUUGAGCGCCGCGGCUCGGGGAUCCGGGGUCGUGUGCUCGUUUGCGGGAGCGGAUCCAGAGAGAUGCUCGGCCGACAACAACACCGAGCCCCGAGAGAGAGAGAGCCGCACCGUUAUAUUUGUGCAAUCGUUUCCAAAAUCGUUGCCUUUAAAUAAAAAAAUACUUUAAAAUUAUUUAAAAAAAAAAAAAAUAGCGACCAAUUCAACAAAGGGGUCUAAAUAAGCGCUUUACGAUUUUUUUUUUUUCUCUUUUCUUCGAAUAAAGGUAACAAUGGAUGUGGCGGAUCUGUCGUUCGCUUUGCCUGCGAUUCUUUUCACGCUUCUUGCGAUUGUUUUAGCGAAUACGAUUUUCGGUAAGAAAACCACGAGUGUCCCGCAGUCCGAGGCGCAGAGCGGUGCUCCCGCUGAGAGCGACUGGACCGCGGACGAGCGAUGUGAGCGUGGACGAGAGGCGGACACACCGGCCCUGCCGCCUCCUCGGACCAUAAUAAAGGGGGAAUUUGAGGGAGCGGAGCCCGUCGGCGGGGGGCAGCUGCAGGAGGACGGAGCGGCACCCGCCGAGUCCCCGCCGGGCCCGCAGGUGGAGGACGACGUGGGCGUGAGCACGAGCACGAGGUGCCCGGGACGCCGCCAGGUGUCCGGGGAACCGGAUUAUAACACGGAAGGGAGUCCUGAAAUCGUGGGUGAAGGAGACUGUAAAGCAGUGCCGGAGGCUCAGACAGCGUUCUUGAAGACAACCAAUUUGGUGCAUGACCCUAUCCAAGACGUGGACGUCAUCUCCAGACCCAUCCCUGUCAAUGUGGCACCCUGCCACCUCUCACUUGAGAGGGAUGUUUUUCUACACCAUCUUCCUGACGUGGAAAUUCACAAGACCAGCCCAGACUCAGAUUCGGAACCUGCACUUGAACAGGUGGAGGAUGAUCUGGCUGCACUGGAGGAGAACCUUGCAGAGUACAGUCCAGAAAAUGAGGAUGAUGAAGAUACGAUUGCGGUCGGUACAGAGGCCCAGGAUCUCUCCCUGAGAUACGCUCUUGGGAAGCUGAGAACCAGCCAGCUGGAGGAGAUGAUGACCAAGGAGGAGGUGGAGGAGAAGGAGCAGAGGGGGGAGAGAGAGCACCUAGCUGCCAUAUUCCAGCUCUUCAGAACUCAGCAGGAAUCCUUUACUCGCAUGAAGAAGGAAGACUUUUUUAGAAGACUUAUUAGAAAUGUACAAAUUGUUGCUCAUCCAAAUAAAAAACCCUCGCAUUUUAAAUUUCGCCAAUGUGCAGCCAGUUUCUUGCCUUAUUUAGUGACUUGAUUCUACCUGCUUAAGAAUGAAUGAAUGAAUGAAUGAAUGG